RNAcentral lists this ribosomal RNA (254 nucleotides) under uncultured bacterium. Its description in RNAcentral is "partial 16S ribosomal RNA". It matches the Rfam family "Bacterial small subunit ribosomal RNA", at positions 524 to 776 of the family's 1533-position model. The record is from RNAcentral.
UACGAAGGGGGCUAGCGUUGCUCGGAAUCACUGGGCGUAAAGCGCACGUAGGCGGUUUCUUAAGUCAGGGGUGAAAUCCUGGAGCUCAACUCCAGAACUGCCUUUGAUACUGGGAGACUUGGAGUCCGGGAGAGGUGAGUGGAACUGCGAGUGUAGAGGUGAAAUUCGUAGAUAUUCGCAAGAACACCAGUGGCGAAGGCGGCUCACUGGCCCGGUACUGACGCUGAGGUGCGAAAGCGUGGGGAGCAAACGGG